Molecule: long non-coding RNA, 2157 nt
Organism: Stegodyphus dumicola
Lineage: Eukaryota; Metazoa; Arthropoda; Arachnida; Araneae; Eresidae
Source: RefSeq, a predicted model, not a curated record
GCAAAACAAGCAAUGGACUUUUUUUUUUUUUUUUUUUUUUUGUCACUUUCCAAUCUGGAUUGAUUAGGACUGAAAGUUCUGCGGUGUGCCAACCCAAGUGAAGAAUAAUUCCAGAAAUUUAACACAGUCUGUUCAGAAUUAGAAUGAAAAACACCUCAGCAAUAACUGGUGAAACUAAAAGAGUUGUUGGAGCUGCCUACUAUAGAAUUGAAAGUAUUAUUUCCAGUUCUCGUUGGUAUGGGGAUCAAACACAUUUCAUCUCUUUACCAAUAAACAGCAAAAAUAUCCAAGAAUAUUUUAUAAAGUUUCGAGAGACUAUUCUAUCAACUUGUCAAAAAGUGAUAGAUUAUUUAGGGUAGCUAUGUUAUGUUAUUGGAGCACGAAAGAGCAGUCUGCUUCAGGAAAGUUUUUAUGGAAACUGUUGUAAAUUGUCAGUUUAAGUCUGUCUUCAGCUGUUAAACCAUAUAUCCACAGCUAAACCAGUAUCAUCUUUAAAACUGUUCAAGCUAAGAAAAGAUGACUGCAGCAUACAGUGUGAAAACAAGUUAGUUCACCGAAUUUUUAAUUUAACCUUCUGAGUGGCAUGAUUGGGUUUAAGGGGUCAAGAGGAUCUUCCAACAUAAGCAGCAUGGGUGCUUUUAAGUGGUCUCUGCCAAGUUACUUGAAAAGAGGACUAGCAGUCAUGCAGAUAUCUGACUGCCUUAUGAUUAGUAGUAAUCCUGUAGCUGUUCUAAAUGAGGGCUCUCAGCAGGCAGUCUAAGAAGGUUGAUUUAUUUUGUUGUAUAACUACUGUAUUAUAAGAGUGGCCAACUUUUGUAUGUAUAAUGACUGACCUUUUUCUUCAAAAAUGUAUUGCAAUCUAUCUUUUAAAAUCUUGACUUUUAACACAUUCAGACUUAUCUCUUAUGUACUAAUAAGUGACUUUGUUGAAGGGGUAUUAAACUGUGAUAUUUUAUUAAGUAUAUGCAUUAAUUGAAAAGUAGCAAAAUUUUUUUAUUUUAUUUUAUUGUCUUAUUAUAAAUGGGAAGUUUGCUUCUACAUGUCUUCAGCCAAGUGUUUAUAAUUUGGUGUAUCUAUAAGCACAAUAAUUACCAAUAUUUGUUCUUUAAAAAAAUAAAAAUUGCUUCUGUAGGUUGAUUACUAUUACUGUUAAAUUUUUUAGAUUUUACUUUUACUUUUCAUCAGAAAGAUUUUGGGUUUUCUUACCUACUGAAUAUACCAAAAGAGGUGUUACUUUAUGUGACUGUAAGCAGCAAAACGAGUUUGCUUGCCUCAAAACCUUUAAAAAAAAAAAAUCGGGUGAAAAGAUCUGAGUUUUUAUCAUGUAUCAGUAUCUUGUUUUAUGUAUUUAAGCGGUGUACUGAUAUCAAAUUGUGCAAAAUAUAUUUGUCACUUAACAAAGAUUGACUAUUUCCAUCUCCUUUUGAAAUAUGCAUAAUUUCUAUAUGAAAAACUGUUAGCCUAGGGUUGAAUUUUGUAUAAACUGCUAUAAUAGUAUUUUAACUUAAACAGCAAAUAAAGACAUAUUCAUAUGAAAUUAUGCUGGGUUUAUGUACCUUCUUUUCUAGUCUAAAAUCAUUUUUUAAUAAUUAGAUGAUUUUUAAUAAAACUGAAUUGUUACAAUUGUAGUAAAAUUUCAUAAUUAACAAAAUUGUGAAUAAUAUAAUUUUAUUUAAUUAAUAAUAAUAAUAAAUUAUUUUUCAUUUCUUUUUCUGAUUGUUAUGGCUCCCAUCUGUAAACAAAUUUUCAUGCGAAAAAAUAAUUGAUAAUGAUGUUGUAUGCAAUUUACCACUUUUAGUCAUUUACUUUUUAGGUGGCACCACCAAAAUUGGUUGUAUUAAUAAUUUCUUUUAGAAUUUUCUGCAGUCUGUUAGUAUUAGUACCAACUGUAGGAUUGACAAAGUUAUUGUCCAUCCUUCAGACAGUAUUAAUGGUCAAACAGUUGAAUCAUGCUUGGGAAUUUUGAAGCUAAAGAUUCUGCAGAACAUGUGAAGUACCACAUCCAAAUGCUCCCUUGUUUUCUCGUAGAAGCAUGAGGGAGAUCCAUUAGUAAGAGUGAUGAUUAUUUUUUGGCCAUGUUGCACAAUAUUUAUAAUGUAAAUGGCUUGAUGCCUCAUAAAAAUUGUCAUUUAAAGGGCCAGUCCUGCUUUUGUUUUG